AAUCCAUAGGUUAAUGAGGCGAACCGGGGGAACUGAAACAUCUAAGUACCCCGAGGAAAAGAAAUCAACCGAGAUUCCCCCAGUAGCGGCGAGCGAACGGGGAGGAGCCCAGAGCCUGAAUCAGCAUGUGUGUUAGUGGAAGCGUCUGGAAAGGCGCGCGAUACAGGGUGACAGCCCCGUACACAAAAGCGCAUGUGCUGUGAGCUCGAUGAGUAGGGCGGGACACGUGGUAUCCUGUCUGAAUAUGGGGGGACCAUCCUCCAAGGCUAAAUACUCCUGACUGACCGAUAGUGAACCAGUACCGUGAGGGAAAGGCGAAAAGAACCCCGGCGAGGGGAGUGAAAAAGAACCUGAAACCGUGUACGUACAAGCAGUGGGAGCACAGGUUUACCUGUGUGACUGCGUACCUUUUGUAUAAUGGGUCAGCGACUUAUAUUCUGUAGCAAGGUUAACCGUAUAGGGGAGCCGGAGGGAAACCGAGUCUUAAUUGGGCGUUAAGUUGCAGGGUAUAGACCCGAAACCCGGUGAUCUAGCCAUGGGCAGGUUGAAGGUUGGGUAACACUAACUGGAGGACCGAACCGACUAAUGUUGAAAAAUUAGCGGAUGACCUGUGGCUGGGGGUGAAAGGCCAAUCAAACCGGGAGAUAGCUGGUUCUCCCCGAAAGCUAUUUAGGUAGCGCCUCGUGAAUUCAUCUCCGGGGGUAGAGCACUGUUUCGGCUAGGGGGCCAUCCCGGCUUACCAACCCGAUGCAAACUGCGAAUACCGGAGAAUGUUAUCACGGGAGACACACGGCGGGUGCUAACGUCCGUCGUGAAGAGGGAAACAACCCAGACCGCCAGCUAAGGUCCCAAAGUCAUGGUUAAGUGGGAAACGAUGUGGGAAGGCCCAGACAGCCAGGAUGUUGGCUUAGAAGCAGCCAUCAUUUAAAGAAAGCGUAAUAGCUCACUGGUCGAGUCGGCCUGCGCGGAAGAUGUAACGGGGCUAAACCAUGCACCGAAGCUGCGGCAGCGAACGUAUCACCCAAGACAACUUUACGGAGUUGACGAUUGACGGAGCGAAGCGACGUCAAAGCGUUCAUUAAAGUCGAGUUGGCUUAGGGAUACGUU
RNAcentral lists this ribosomal RNA (1107 nucleotides) under Salmonella enterica subsp. enterica serovar Saintpaul. RNAcentral's name for it is "partial 23S ribosomal RNA". It matches the Rfam family "Bacterial large subunit ribosomal RNA", at positions 161 to 1298 of the family's 2925-position model. The record is from RNAcentral. Lineage: Bacteria; Pseudomonadati; Pseudomonadota; Gammaproteobacteria; Enterobacterales; Enterobacteriaceae.